AGUGAACGCUGGCGGUAGGCCUAACACAUGCAAGUCGAACGGCAGCACAGUAAGAGCUUGCUCUUACGGGUGGCGAGUGGCGGACGGGUGAGGGAUACAUCGGAAUCUACUUUUUCGUGGGGGAUAACGUAGGGAAACUUACGCUAAUACCGCAUACGACCUACGGGUGAAAGCAGGGGAUCUUCGGACCUUGCGCGAUUGAAUGAGCCGAUGUCGGAUUAGCUAGUUGGCGGGGUAAAGGCCCACCAAGGUGACGAUCCGUAGCUGGUCUGAGAGGAUGAUCAGCCACACUGGAACUGAGACACGGUCCAGACUCCUACGGGAGGCAGCAGUGGGGAAUAUUGGACAAUGGGCGCAAGCCUGAUCCAGCCAUACCGCGUGGGUGAAGAAGGCCUUCGGGUUGUAAAGCCCUUUUGUUGGGAAAGAAAAGCAGCAGGUUAAUACCCCGCUGUUCUGACGGUACCCAAAGAAUAAGCACCGGCUAACUUCGUG
RNAcentral lists this ribosomal RNA (492 nucleotides) under uncultured bacterium. Its description in RNAcentral is "partial 16S ribosomal RNA". It matches the Rfam family "Bacterial small subunit ribosomal RNA", at positions 29 to 507 of the family's 1533-position model. The record is from RNAcentral.